UUAACAAAUAAUGUGCGUGUUGCGUGUUUUGCGCGCGGCAUUUGCACACGUUGAUGAGCUUUCCAAAGAAAAAAUUUUUUUGGUGGCGCAUAAUAAACAGCGUGAGGGGCUUUUCUUAAUUCGAGUGUAGUAAAAAACGACGCUUGGUAUGUGAGGAGCACAUUGCGCAAUGGGUGUGGCAGUACCCAGCCCCAACGCCACUCUUUCUUAUGAAAGAAAGUUAAUCAUCA
RNAcentral lists this unclassified non-coding RNA (230 nucleotides) under Paraglomus occultum. Its description in RNAcentral is "ITS2". The record is from RNAcentral. Lineage: Eukaryota; Fungi; Glomeromycota; Glomeromycetes; Paraglomerales; Paraglomeraceae.